GAUGAACGCUGGCGGCGUGCUUAACACAUGCAAGUCGAACGAGAAGUGCCGACUUAAACCUUCGGUCGGACGGCUUUAUUUCGAGUGGCGUACGGGUGAGUAACGCGUGGCUAACCUGCCUCAUACAGGGGGAUCACAUUUGGAAACGACUGUUAAUACCGCAUAAGACCACAGCACCGCAUGGUCCGGUGGUAAAAACUCCGGUGGUAUGAGAUGUACCCGCGUUCGAUUAGCCAGUUGGCGGGGUAACGGCACACCAAAGAGACGAUCGAUCGCCGAUCGGAGAGGAGGCCCGGCCACAGUGGGACUGAGACACGGCCCAAACGCGUGAGGGAGGCAGGAGUGGGGAAAAUUGAACAAUGGGGGAAACGAUGAAGCAGCGACGCCGAGUGAGUGAAGAAGUAGUUGGGUAUGUAAAGCUGUAGCAGCAGGGAAGAAAAUGACGGUACCUGAGUAAGAAGCACCGGCUAACUACGUG
This 478-nucleotide ribosomal RNA is filed under the name uncultured bacterium. RNAcentral's name for it is "partial 16S ribosomal RNA". It matches the Rfam family "Bacterial small subunit ribosomal RNA", at positions 28 to 507 of the family's 1533-position model. The record is from RNAcentral.